Molecule: long non-coding RNA, 38968 nt
Filed under: Theobroma cacao (cacao)
Lineage: Eukaryota; Viridiplantae; Streptophyta; Magnoliopsida; Malvales; Malvaceae
Description: long non-coding RNA (TCAC_LNC004997)
Source: RNAcentral
CCUAGGAAACUAAAUUCCAUCUCUUAAUUUCAUAAGAAAAAUAAGAAAAUUCAUUGAUGAGUAACCCAAGUUUAACCCUCUUGCCCCCAAGUCAUCGUGUUUUGUGCUUUUCUAGGAGUUAUAACCUCUUUUGGCUCCUCUACCUCUCCAAACAAACACAAGUUGUCAUAGCUGAAGACUGAAGAGACAAUCAAGCAAAGAAAGAAAAAAAAAUGCAAGAGACCAUAGUGCUCUACCCAUCGCCAGGCUUGGGCCAUGUGGUGUCAAUGGUGGAGCUAGGCAAACUCAUCCUACAACAGCGAAACCACCAAUUUUCCAUCACCAUUCUCCUUACUACUGGUUUUUGGGACACCCCAAGGAUCAUCUCCUACAUCAAUUCUGUCUCCCAAGCCUACCCAUCCAUCUGCUUUCGCCGCUUCACAUCCGUCUCCGUCUCCAUGGACAAAAAAUGCAGCGUUGCUGCCAUUGCCUUCCAGUUCAUACGCCUCCAUGCGCCCAACGCACUCCAUUCUCUUCAGGAAAUCUCCAAAGAUCACAAGAUCUCUGCUUUUGUCAUAGAUAUUUUCUGCACUUCUACUCUAUCCAUGGGAAAAGAUCUCAAAAUCCCCACUUUUUACUUCUAUACCUCUGGUGCUUCUUCCCUCGCCGCCUUCCUUCAAUUCCCGAAACUUGAUGAACAAACCACUGAGAGCUUCAGAGAUCUCCCUGACACAGUCUUUCAUUUCCACGGCCUGCCACCGUUGAAAGCCAUACACAUGCCAGAACCCGCACUUGAUAGAGAAGAUCCUGCUUAUUGGGACUUUAUAUACUUCUGUUCAGGCCUCGCACUAUCAGAUGGAAUUAUAGUUAACACUUUUCAAGAGCUCGAACCGAUUUCCAUCAAGGCUAUUGCUGAUGAGUUAUGCCUCGUUGAUGCUCCAACUCCACCAACUUACUACAUCGGACCAUUGAUUGCAGCAGGUAGUAAAGCUGAACACGAGUGUUUAUCGUGGCUGGAGAAGCAACCGAGUAAAAGCGUUGUGUUCUUGUGUUUUGGGAGCCGUGGGUCGUUCUCUCGGGUCCAAAUUAUGGAAAUAGCAAAAGGUUUGGAAAGGAGUGGGCAAAGGUUCUUGUGGGUGGUAAAAAAUCCACCUCAGGACGAAAAGGCAAAGCAAACUGAAGAAAGCCCCAAUGUGGAUCUAGACUCUCUUUUGCCAGAUGGGUUUAUGGAGAGAACCAAAGAUAGGGGUCUGGUUGUGAAGUCAUUUGCGCCACAAGUAGUAGUGCUGAACAAGGACUCGGUUGGUGGCUUUGUGACUCAUUGUGGGUGGAACUCCAUCUUAGAAGCAGCGGUCACCGGGGUGCCAAUGAUUGCAUGGCCUUUACAUGCAGAGCAACACUUGAAUCGGAACAUUUUGGUUCAGGAUAUGAAGAUGGCUAUCCCUGUGGAGCAAAGACAGGAAGAUGGGUUUGUGAGUGGAACUGAGUUGGAGAAGCGAGUCACGGAGUUGAUGGAUUCCGACAUUGGCAUGGAGCUUAGAGAAAGGAGCUGGAAGAUGCGAGAGAAGGCCUUGGCUGCUUGGGGUCCGUCAGGGUCUUCCACUAAAGCACUAACCAAGUUGAUUGACUUGUGGAAGCACGGUUGAGAAUCAACUGUUUUGUUUUGUCCUGUUCGCAUGGUAUCAACGGUGGAACACAAAUCCUGUGCCCCUAUUGUGCCCCCAUCCGUAUCUCCUCUCUAUAUUUUUGCCAUCUGUUUUAUCUCUUUGGCUGUUAACAUCAAUUAAAAAAUAAAAAAAAAUCUCAUGCUAGGUUUUCUUUACUGUUGACUGUCUACUUCACUUUGCCCAUGUCUUUGGCUGCCUACUUCUCUUUUACCCUGAUUUUUCAAUUUGACAGGAUUCUUUCAACUUUUGUAAGGUUUUUUUUUAUUUGAUAUCGAGAAUAAGUUUAGAGUCUUUUACUUCUAUUGGUUGGAAAGUAGGGAUGCUGAACUCACUGUUCUUCCUAGAGUCUUCAUCUAGAUCCAAAUGAUAAUACAUGAUAAAACCAGAGUGUUUGCUUUCUUUUUUUUCUUAUUUACUAAUUGAGGUGAGUCUUUUAUCAAUAUUUUUUGGGGGCUACAUGAAAUGGGGGUUUUCUGGGAUGGUUGGCUUUUAGAUGCAGAACUUGCUGGUCUCUGAGCAUGUCCUUACAAGUUAAUUAUGAUUAGUCCACCCAGCUAUAUAUUGGGCUCUCUUCAUAGGCAGCAAAACAAGGAUAACUGAAGUGACAUUGCCAGUUUUCUUUGGUCUCAACUGGAGGACGGUAAACCUACCAAAAUUUAGUGGUUAUGUGUUUGUGUUUUAACAGCUCGGAGCUUAUCUGUCUCUGCCUGUUUAUGGUCAUUGCUUAGGAAUGUUAAUCUUCAUUGCGCGCCUUUGAAUCUCUCUGCUAUAAGUGAGAUGGUUACGCAGCUAGACCUCAUCAUAUUUUUGCCCUGUGAAAUAUUAGACUUUGAAACAAGAGCAGGGAUAAAGUUUUUCAUAUUAGGUUUCAUAGGGUUCAAUCAUUUUAGAUUGGGAAUUCUUUUACUUUGAAAAGUAUCUUGAUGAAUUCAUUAUAUUUUUCAAAAAAAAAUUUCAUGAUUUUCGAUUGAUUAUUUUUUUGACACAAGCAAAAAUAGAAUUUUACCUUUUAUAUCACCGGUUUAAGUCUGUAAAAUCUUAAAGCAAGAUAAAGCAUAUUUUGGAGUAAACGUUCUCACAAAUGUGCGCAAACUUAACGUGAAUAUUAUAGAUGACUAAAGUAAUACAAUGAGGAGGUAGCAUAAAGCUGGCUAAAGAUGUUAAAGUCUAAACUUUGAUGUUAAGUAUGCACAUCUUCUUGUAUAAAAAUUCAGAAAAUUGAAAUAUAAGUUUUAAACCAAAUAAUAAAAAAAAAAGAGAAAAUUGUGAGAAAUACCCCUCAUCAUAAGGUGAUUUAAAAAAUAACCAUCCAUAUAAAGUUAUCUGUUUCUAACCAAAAAAAAGCAUGAGUAGACAAAAAUGCUAUUAAAAAACAUCGUGGCAAAUUAAGCUCUCGAAAUCUCCCUCCUGCCAUAGAGAAAAUAGAAAUAAGAGGAAAUUGUGAGAAAUAAAUGCUCAGCUGUUUGAGCUCGCUCAUCAUUCUCUCUCAGCUAUCUGAACUAUAUCAACUCUGUCAACUCUCUGUUAAGCACCAUCGUCAUCAGCUCUUUUAGCUCUCUUAACAGUAUGAGCUUUGUGAACGCUCUGUUGAGCACCAGCGUGAUUGUGUUGUGGUUUAUCUCUCAGCAUUUGGCCAUAUUGUCAUCGAUAAACAAACCUCAUAGCGAAGAUGACAUCAAGGUAUGUUAUUGGGUUUAUUGCUGCAACACAUAAAUUUGUGAAACUUUUUAAGUAAAUUAAAACACGGAUUAGAAAUAUUGCACAGAGUUGUUACACGCCAUGCAUUUAUAAAGCAGAUGGCGUGUAAAAAAAAUAUUGAAAUAACAUGUGUUAGCACAUGGCAUGUAACAUUUUUAUUUAACAUAGCGUGCAACAUGUUGUGAACAUGAUGUGUAACAAAUUUUUCACUUGCGUGUAACAUGUUUUGAACAUGGCAUGUAACAAAUUUUGAACUUGCGUAUAACAUUUUCGAACAUGGCAUGUAACAUUUUCUAAACAUGGCGUGUAACAUUUUUUUAAAAUGGCAUGUAACAACAUGACUGAUAAAUUUUUGAACACGGCAUGUGUUGUGUAAAAUGAUUGACAAUUUUUUUUUGUUUUUAAAAUUUCAGUGGGGUUCCAAUUGUGCGACUUGUGAUAAGGCACGAUGGUCAGUGGGUGGAUGGCAUUUACAAGGGUGGUGAGUCACGAAUGCAGGGGGUUAGGAGUGAUUUGUCAUUUGCGGGCUUGAUAAAGCUGGUUGAAGAUGUUGUUGGGGUAAACUCAGAAUUUGACACGAUUGAGUUACAUGCAUUGAUCAGUACACCCUGAGAGCUAUCACGACCAAUUAUCAAGGACGAUGAGGAUGUUACAUUAAUUCUGCUAGAACAGAGGAAUGUUCCGGCUAUGUAUGUCAGCAUUAAGGGAUGCCAAACAAAUGUUAUGUCACAUGAAGAAGUUGAACAAUAUGGUAAUCAGCUCAAUCAAAAUGAGAUUUACAAUGCUUCACAUAUACCACAGCAUUCAGUCCGUAACCCAUAACAAUGGCAAUUGAGGUAUGCACAAGAGUUUGUGCAGCCCGGUAGACAGAUGACAUUCACAGAACAGUUGGCUGCAAAAUUCCGAUCAGGAUGUGUAUCAAACCAAUUACUUGCUUUUAUCCAACAAAUGCAACGAUCGGGUGAAACUGUAGAGUGUGUAAUGCCAUUGUCAAAUGAGAAUACAACACUUGAGGACAACAUUGUGAGAUUGGAGGGUGACACUGCGACUCUGGAGGAUAAUACUGCAUCUGAUGAGGGAAAUGAGGAUUUGUUCCCUGCUCGUGAAGAUAGAUUUGAUGACAAUUCAGAUGAUGGGCUUGAUAAAUGGCAUGAUGACAAUUCAGACGAUGACUGGCUUUAUGACAGUGACAUUCCAAUUUGCAAUAAUGUUGAAGGCGAAACAGAACUUGUUGGAGGUGUUGAUGUAGGAAAUGUUCAGUGUGAUGACCCCAUAUACAAUAACCCCAUCGCUGGUGAGAACGGGAUUCAUUCCUUUGAUACAUUGCUCGAUGACAAUUAUCAGGAAAGGGGAAAUGCAGGGAUAUCUCGUACGUGGCUAAUUACAGGUGGAAAAAGGUUCUCCUUCCAAACAAUUACCAUUGAGGAAUCGACAUGUGCCGAUGAUCGUUUAUACAAAGAAAGAAUGUUUUCCUUAAAGGCUGAGUUGAAACGAGCUUUGAACAUGUUGGUUCUAAAAGAGCAGUUUGAGAUAAGAGUAAAAAGGUCAUGUAAAGGUCGUUAUGAGGUUGGUUGUAACGACAAGGCAUGCAAGUUCAGUGUGCGUGCAAUGAAGUUACUUGACAGAGGAGAAUAUUGACAAGUUCGGAUGUUCCACAAAGUACACACAUGUAUUGUUGAUGGUUUGCAAGGGCGAUUUUCAACUGCGAGUGCGAAGAUAAUUGGUGAACUUAUGUCACACAAGCUUUGGGCUAAUGGAGUAGCAUUGAGACCUAAGGACAUAAUUUGUGAGAUGAGAGUUCAGUGAGGAUUGGAAUGCUUGUAUGAUAAGGCUUGGCAAGCGAAGGAGUAUGUAGAGAGGCUUGUUUUCGGUCCUCUAGAGGAGUCAUUUCAACUACUACCCUCGUAUUUUUAUAUGUUGGAACAAGAAAAUCCUGGCACAGUGACUGCAGUGGCUACUGAUGAGGCAAAAAGAUUCAAAUAUUGUUUCUAGUGAUACGGGGCUUGUAUUUAGGGGUUUAGGGAUGUAAUGCGUCCUACGGUUGCAAUUGAUGCGACAUAUCUGAAAGGCAGGUUUAAGGGUGUUCUGUUUGUUGUUGUAUGCAAAGAUGCGAACGAGUGCGUAUAUCUAGUUGCAUUUGGCAUCGGCCAUGUUGAGGAUGAAGACUCAUGGAUGUGGUUUCUUAGCAAGCUGCGUGAUGCGGUUUAUUGUCCUAAAAACACUAUGUUCAUUUCUAAUCAGCAUCUCGGCAUUAAGAAAGCAAUCCAAAAUGCAUACCCAGAAGCGCACCAUAGUUUAUGCGGCUACCACUUGAAAAAAAACUUUAAAAACAAGUUCAAGUGCGACGAUGUUUCUAUGAUUUUCACCCUUACUAGAAAUUACUAUAAAGUUUUCGAUUUCAACAGGCAUAUGAACCAACUCAAGCAGAUUUACGCGAGAGCCCACAUUGACUUUAUGAGAAUAAGGCCUAAGAGAUGGGCACGUGCAUGUUCACCGACAAGGUGAUACCAAAUGAUGACAUCCAACAUUGCGGAAUGUGUAAACUCAUGCUUGAAGCAUGCAAGAUAAAUGCCAAUCACUGUUUUGAUCGAGUUCAUUAGAGAAAUAUUCUAGCGUUGGUUCUAUGACCGGUACGAGGAGGCUGUCAAGGUGACCACCCCCCUCAGCCCUUGGCUUGCUUGGCAGUUGAGAAAACAGUUCAAUGAUGCACAUCGCUUUGUAGUUAAGCCUAUCAAUCGAGUGGAGUUCGAAGUUAAAGACGGGAAGAUGGACGGACUUGUAAACUUGUCCAGGAAGACGUGUUCAUGUUGUGAGUUCCAAAUAGAUUUACUGUCGGCACCAUCUCCAAGUCAAUUGGCACCUCCACGAGUGCGUCGACCGAAAGCAUGUUCAAGUUGCAGACAAACCGAUCACACACGCAACAACUGUCCAAUACGAAGGACAAUGUCUGAAAACGUAAGGUGUGUUGUGGAUGAAGACAGCUUGUUGGCCUAACUAAAUGUGUAACCCAUGCGCAAUACCUUUCUCAUAAUUUCCUCUUGCAGUAUCUUGCAUUCAUUCAUAUUUUUUAGUGUUUGUUAGUUUUUUCUUGUAGAUGAGUAUUUAUUUUUUAUUAAUUUUGUAGAUAUAUUAUUUGAGUAUUAAUUUCAUUUUUUUCGUAGUUUUGAACACUGAAUAGACUCGCGAAGUCCCUAUCCUGUUACCCCCUUUCUCACAUUUUAUUACCACUUGUAUUAAACAAUUAAUGAUUUGAUUUAAUUCCUUUCUAUUUCAUUUGAUUUAACCUUUUAUGUUCUUACAAUCAAAUCUCCUAAGAGAUAUAAAAUUAAAUUAAUUCAUCUAAAUUUAAUAGCUUUCUAAAUCCCAAUAUUCAAUUUUUUUUUGUAAUUUUUAAAUUACAACACUUAUUUUAUCCUUUAUCUUAUUAAUACCGCCAUAUAAAAUUUUAAGCCAAUCACUUAACAAAUUUAAAUUAAAAUAUAUUAUGCUAAGCUAAUAAAAGAAAUGCCAUGUGGCAGUUUUGAUCAUCUGGUGUGGGGGUUGAGAUUAGGCUGUAAUUGUUAGAUGUCAAUGACAUCUUGUGGUGACACGCUGAGUGAAAGCAAAUGCUUGUGGUGACACUGAGUGCAUGCAGACUUCUGACGUGACAGCUGACUUGUUACAGUAUUGUGGGGUGACACGGCACAUGCCAAUUGUGGUGACACGGUGAGUGCAUGCAAACUUCUGGCGUGACACACUGACUUGUUACAGUAUUAUGGGGUGACACGAAACGGGCCAAUUGUGGUGACAUGCUGAGUGCAUGCAGACUUCUGGCGUGACAUGUUGACUUGUUGCAGUUUUGUGGGGUGACACGUCAUGCCCCAAUUGUGGUGGCACGCUGAAUGCAUGCAGAUUUCUGGCGUGACACGUUGACUUGUUACAAUAUUGUGGGAUGACACGCCACGUGGUUGCAAUAUUAAUUUAAAAAUUGACAUCAGCUUCUGAUAUUUAUAGGCACUGUGUUUGAAUUGAUAAAGAAGAAGUAAUGGGAAAGUAAUGUAUAAAAUGUACGAAUAUUAAAAUUAAUAAAGUUAAUUGUAUAUACAAAAAAAUGAUGUACAUACAAGGGCCGAUAUGUUCAGGGUUUGUUCUCACAAUUGUUGGAAAAAAUUUUUAGAGCGUAUUGGCGAUGCAUAUUUGGAAUCAUAUUCUGCUUAACUCUGAUAUUUUUUAAUUGCAAAAUAUCGUCAAUAUACCCUAUCAUGAACAUAUCACAGCUGACAUUAUCGUUUUGUCGAUGCACGUUAGCUUUUGGCAAAUGGAUUUUCAAUGGCAUCGGCGUCAAAUCCCAUGUCUUUCGGUGUGUUUUGUUGAAAUAACUAGCUUGGUGGUAGAUGAUUGGCAUAAUUGUCAUAAAGGGUGUCAUCUGAGCCGCAUGCACUCCGUUAUCCUUAGCAUUCGAAGUUCUUGCAGAGUCCACCACCUUAAUCGUCCACCUCACCAAGUUGAUCUUCGCUACCACCCAAUGCCCGCCCACAUUGCAAGGUGCGAGGAUGAAAUUGACAUCUUCCCAUUUUUUGCCAUAUCUCGUCCUCUCACCUUCCAUGUACCCCACAACUCAUCUGAAAUUUCCAUCGUGGAUCGAGCAUCUUCAGUUGGAAAUACGGUGUGUAGUAGAUGGAUGGUGUCCUGUGAAGCAUGUAUACAGUAGCUUACACUUAAUGCAAUAAAAAACUUUGUAUUUUCAGAAUUGAAAAAUUUACAGAUAAACUUAUGAAAAAUAUCGUGUCAACCACGCAUGCAUGGGUAGUGUACAGUUUCAACUUCGGCCUUGUCAUCCACUUACAGAGUACGCUGAGGCAUGCGUCUAUAUGUUCACUACUCAUUUCUUCUUUGGGAUCCUCUAAUGUUGUGAAAAAUUUAGCACCUUGAUCCCUUAAGAUCCCGACGUUGUUCCUGCAUAUGUAACAGAAUGAAUUUCAAAAGCCUUGUGGAUUAAUGUUUCAUUAAAAAAUAAUAUUUACAAUGUUAUUUAUGAGCUUACCAUGAACAAUCGUCUUUCUUGAAAGCUUUAUAUGCUUCCACCAUUGCAUCUUUUAUAUCCCGACGGCUCACUGAGGGGUCGACGUACGGGUUUGACAUGUAUUUGCUUGCCAUUUUGACCCAUGCCCGUUCAGUUGGGUUUGAAAUUUAUGCUGCAUGAUGAUGGAUAUCAGACUCUGGUGACAACAAUCGUGUCUUGCUAACUUCAGAAGUGAUUUGAGGAAGAUGGUCCCCUUUAGCCUGAAGUGAUACAAGGUUCCCAUCCCUUCAUGUUGUUGCCUCGACUACUGCAUAGGCCUCAAGAAGAUGCUCUCCUUCAACCACGAGCUAGUGAAGGUCCCCCUCCCCUCUCGCAGAUGCAUCGAUAACCGAAUCAACCUCAGGAACGUGGACUAUUUCAGCCACGAGCAAGUGAAGGUCCCUUUCCCCUCCCAUAGAUGCAUCGAUAACCGAAUCAGCCUCAAGAACAUGGACUCUUUCAGCAUCAUCUGAUUGAAGGGUCACAUCCCCUGCCACAGCAUCAUAUCCGUCACGGCCAACAACAUCAUUGUGAAUGUGAACAGCAAGUUCAUCAUGUUGCCCAUCAUUAGCAUCAUCGUCGUGAGAUGAAGGACUGCUAUAUAAAAUGAGAUAAAUUGGAAAAUUCGUUAGCUCAUAAAAUACCACAAAUCAAAAACCAAGAAUAAAAAAUAGAACUACACAUAUUAAACAUAAAUGACUAAUAUAUGAGUGAAGAUAGAAUAUUGUACUUGUGAUUUUAGGCCUUUUAGAAUACGAGCAACGACACGGUCCUCAAACGUUUGCAUGGCUAGAGUCAAUGACUGAAUCGAAGCCUUCAGCUCUUACAUGUUUUGUUUUGUCGGUGCAUGAUUUGUCGCAGCUGACGCUUCGUGACUACUACGUCAUUGACUUUUGUCGAAUGGGUCAACUGCAAUAACAUAUAUUACUUUGUUAUUCAAUAAUCAUAUAUAGAAUUAUUGAACAUUAACUGUUAGAACUUUAAAAUCCAUACCAGUAGCUCGUUACCAUUGUGCGGUUGAGUAGGACAGAUCGGUGGUUGAGGAGCUGCCGUCGCCUCCCUCAACUGUAAUGAUAGAAAUUACUGUGUUACUCGAUAAACAUAUGCAAAAAUGUUGAACACAAAUCGUUACAACCGAUCUUACCGACGGCUUGUUACAAUUGCACGUUUGAGGAACACUUGUCGGUGGUUGAUAAGCUAUUAUCGCAUGGUCCAACUGUAAACAUAGAUAUGUUAUUCGAUAAUCACAUAUGAAAUUGUUGAACACAAACAGUUAGAACCAUCCUUACCGACUGUUCACUGUCAUUGCCAUGGUCGUCCCCUUCCUUUAUUAACUCAGAGCCAACAGCUCAUCCACUAAAGCAGCAGCGGUGCGCCUCUAUUUCAUGCCACCAGUGGCUCUAUUCUCUUUUAAUUUUCUCUUAUUUUCCUGAGCACCUAAGCCAUAGUCUGUCCGAUCCUCCAUGUGCCCUAUUAACACGUACUGGUGGUCUUCAUAUAACGGGACAUCAAUGUCCAUAAAAUACUUCUGACUGGCCUCAUCCGGGGUGGGCUCGAAGGUCUCCACUGUCCAUAACUAUAAAAUAGGGAUUGUGAUUAAAUUUUAGGAAAAAUUGUUAUACAAAUACACAGUAGAAAUUAGUAACUGUUCACUCACCUGCUCAGAUGACUCCAACUUCUCAACUGUUUUGUAGAAGUCUUUCGGCUUCUGAUUACAUUGCCAUUUGCACAUACGUGGGUAGACGUCCUUCGAAGCAGAGGGGGCAACUAUUUUUUGGAAGGUCAAAAUUACUUUCAUUGCCUAGAACUACAAGUCAAAUGUAACAUUAUUAGACCAUAAAUGAUAAACGAGUGCAACUAUAAAUUUUUAUGUCAAAAAGAAACAAAUAAAUGUUUAGUGAUAGUACUUGUAUCACCCACACGAAUUCGUAAAUAUUGUACCGUAAACGAGUAUCCUUCUGCGAGUUUGAGGCAAGCAUUUCGAACCCUUUUAAAAGGUAGUCCUCAGUCAUCCUCUAAACAUAGUGACUCAAUGGGAAGGCAUUCUAGGCGUCGAUGUCCUUCACCAAUGAUAAUAGCCAAGGCGUCACCCGUCUACGGUAGUCUUGACCAAAUAAAAUGUUAUUCGUGAUCAAGACAAGUGCCAUCUUGGUCGCGACACCUGGUCGUUGAAAGUUGCCUCCGUGAAAAGUAUCAAGCAACUCCUGCAGCUUAAUGCUCUGCUGCUUGUUUCAGUAUCUGGCAUGAAUUUCGCUCGCAACAACCUCGUAUGGUCAUCUGAACACAUUGGGCAUUGGACAAAACUUCAAUCCAGUGAUAAGGUAAAACUCUUACUUUAAUAUCCACUCCUUGCUCUUGCCAAUGGCAAACCAUAGCUCGUGCUUCAUUGCUUAUGUCUCAUUGAUUCGACGAAUCAUGAUGUUAUGUAAGAGACCGGUGCAGAAGUAGCCUUGUGGAUAUACGUCCAGCAGCAUUCUGAAACAUGUAUGCUUGACUGCAUCAUACUCCUCUUUCUCUUGGAGAGUCUUGUUGAUGUAAUGCAGUUGCGACCGCUUACAGUGGGUGUUGAUAACGACAUUGAACUCCCACUUCUUUGUCGGCACGAGAAGCAAACUAUCAAGAUCUUCAUAAUGACUGGACUGCACCAGCAAAACAUGGCACACAUGCACGAGUGAGUAAACCCAUAAUGUGGAAACAAGGUAUACUGAAGAAAGAAAUAAAUGUUGUUACACGCUAUGCAUAUCAAGAAAAAUGUUGUAACACGCUAUGCAUAUCAAGAAAAAUGUUGUAACACGCCAUGCAUAUCAAGUCAAAUGUUGUGACAUGCCAUGCAUAUCAGUGUCGUGACACGUCAAUCACUGUAAUUACUGACUCGUUACACCAACAGCUGUGACAUGCCAAAAACCAAAAAAACCAGUUAACCCACAACACACCAGGAACAGCUGUGACACGUUAAAAACUCAAAAAACCGGUUAACCCACAACACUCCAGGAACAGCCGUGACAUGUUAAAAACUCAAAAAACCAGUUAACCCACAACACGCCAAGAACAACCGUGACACGCUAAAAACCCAUAAAACUAGUUAACCCACAACAUGAUAGGAACAGUCGUGACAAGCUAAAAACCCAAAAAACUAGUUAACCCACAACACGCCAUAUGUAGACACGAACCCCUUUCAACACUUUGGUACGACCAUAAAACCAGGAAGAAAACAAUUUAAGCAAAGCAUAACAAUUGCAAAAAACACCAACAUAUCAAACCAACCCAACUAAAAAUCAACGAACAGAAGAAAGUUUUAAUUUUAGACUGACUGACCUCUUCACUGAUAACCAACAUUGUUGCUGUGAUGUAGCUAAGCUUGCCAAAAACGAAGUUGAACUCUCUACUACCUUUCGAAAUGAGGAAUGAAUGAAACUCUCUUACUUCCUUCACAUAGACAUUUGCGAUUUCAGAAAAAUAUUUAAUUAAAAUGAAAUGACCUUUUAUAUUCAUUUCAUUCAUUUAGUGGAGGUCCAAACGCUUUCCUCAUUACUUGCCCGCCUUCUUUCACAUCAUGGCGUGUCACAUGCUCAAGCCAUGUCGUGUCACACAUCUGAUUAUGGCGUGUCACACACUUUAAACUCUGUCGUGUCACAUCUGUCUCACAUAUUCUCACCGUGUCGUCUCAUACAUUAUCACCCUGGCGUGUCACAAAUUUCCUUCAUGGCGUGUCACACACUCUAAACCCUGCCGUGUCACACAUUAUCACCAUGCCAUUUCACAUAUUAUAACCCUGUCGGGUCACACGUCUAACCAUGGCGUGUCACACACUCUAAACCCUGCCGUGUCACACCCCUGUCACAUUCUCACCGUGCCAUCUCACACAUUAUCAUCCUGACGUGUCACAUAUUCCCCCCAUGGUGUGUCACACACUCUAAACCCUACCGUGUCACAUAUUCUCACUAUGAUGUGUCACAUAUUCCCACCAUGCCUUGUCAUAAACUCUAUAUCCUACCAUGUCACAACCGUGUCACAUAUUUUCACCAUGAUGUGUCACACAUUCCCACCAUGCCAUUUCACAAACUUUAAAUCCUGCCAUCACACAAACGUGUCACAUAUGGCCUGCUGUAGCACAACCAUUUCCUGCAUCUGAUUCACAUCUUUCUCGUUUCGAUUCACCACCGUAUCAGGGAUUUUUAGUUUCACAUCAUUCUUGAAGCUUUCGAUUCAUCACGACUGGUUCCUCGUUCGGUUUAAUAUCACAUUUCUAGUAUUAUCUGAAUGCCAUGUCCGAAAUAUCUGAAAAACCAUCUCACGCAACAUUAUUUUGUUUUGCACAAGCUUUUGAAGAAAAAAUUGGAUGUUUUGCACAAAAGUAGAUCUUUGAAAAUUCUUCGCAUAUUUAUUUUCUCAUUUUUCGCCUGUUUAAGAGUGCGCGUCACCGAAGAUGUCUCAUUAAGGAAAUUUUUUUUGUCCCAAAAUCUCUUCUGGUGGCUUAAAACAGUUAAAUUUAUCUGGAAGGUUAUUUUCAAAAACACUUUGUUUUUAAGGGCCAAAAAAAAUUUCCCAAAAAAAAAACUAUAAAGAAAAUCAAAAACUAAAAAUGCUACUUGAUUAACAGAGAUUGAAGAGUUUAUUGAACAUCACAUAACAUUUGACUAGUAAGGGGCACUCCAUUAUUGAGGAGCACUUCUAAUUAUUUGCCCUGCAUUAUAGCUGGUAGGGGAAGCUUGGCAUUGCAAAUCUGCUUUUGAAUCCUGUAAUUGAUUAGAAACAGUAGCUAUGGAAGUAAAAUCAAAUAAAGUAUUCCCAUUUUGGAAGCCUAUUGUAGAAACACUGUCUCUCAAAUUACUAGGAUGCAAAAUAGCUUGUUGAGAGCUUCCUUCUAACAUUACAAUGUUGCUUGUAACACCAAAAAGUGGAUUAUUGGAGCAUCUAGUCAUUCUUGCAUCUAUUAAAUUACUAGAAACAGGGAAAACUAUAGUAUUAACGAUAGUGGGCAGCUCUCCAAUAUGGAUAACACCCUUGUUAUUUUGUUGUUGAUCAAGUUUUAAUGACAUUGGCAUCCCUUGUAGUGUGUUAACAUUAUGGUUCCAAGAAUCAUGAAAGAUUACAACUUGUUCUUAUCAUUACUGGUAUUGCCCGAGUUUCGCACAUGACUUAAUUGAAUCAUUUCAAGAGAAAGAAGGCCAUGUGUACCUAACACAACAGGUGUAUUCAAUUUUCCAAGCACACCUCUAGGUGGGAAAGAUCUUAAGGUUGCAUUGUGAAGCUAAUUAGAUCUUGUCAAGGUAUGGAAAUUCCUAAGUCCAUUUUUAGGCCCCAUACACAAAUAGGUAGAAUCUACACUGCCUAAGGCUGUCGCCAUAUUUGCUUGUUGGUUUACCACACAGUUAAUUCUUUUCAAGUAAAACCUAUAUUUCUACAACCAUAAAAAUAAGACAGUUAACUACCUGAUAAGAUAAGAUCAUAGUAACUUUGGUAGGAAUGUUCAGAAUUAAUGCUUGGAGAUGGUUAGCAACAUUUUCUCUGAUAGUCUUUUCAUCAUUCAUUAAUUCUAGGAUCUUUUUAGGUACAGCCUCCACAUUAAAACCACGUGAACAGUUAACAUGGAAGCUUCAUGCAUAAGUAGAUUCAUGUAUGUAACAAAACAAUUUAAAGAAUAUGCAAAAGGACCGAGAAUUGAAUUUUCAGAAAUGGGAAUAUUAUGGAAUAUUUUUUCAACAAUAUGCUAAGAAACAACUAAACAAACAAAAGGUUUUGCAUGAGGAAAGUUAAAUUCCAUUUGUUAAAGCCAGAACUUUUUCCAGAAUAACAACUAAAACAAAAAGCCAAAGUGUUCAAAGUUUCAGAGUUAAAACAGAAACUAGAAGUGUUCAUCCCAAUUUUUCUUCUUCAACAGGACGUUCAAGCACAAAAAACAAUAAAUAAAAUUUAGAACAAUCAUUUUAAGCUAAUACUAGUAAUAGCCACUAGGUAGCUUGAUUGGGUUCUAUUUCAAAUCCAAAAUUCAAAUUUUAUUCUUUCUUAAAUUUCUCAAAUAGAAAAGAAAAACAAACUAAAAGGAGAAACAUAAUCAAUUGGUUUAUCCUUCCAAAUAAAUAGCAUUCAACACGUCAAAAAUAACAUAAAAUUUCCAUAUCUAAACUUUGACUUGUAAGUUAAGCCAUCAAAAUUCAUAGUCAAUUGGUUACCUCUGUUAUUGGAAACUGUCUUUUAGGCGGGUCAUCUUCUUUUAGGCAAAGAAUCCGGACAAUAUUUCUCGAAUUAGAGCUGUCAAUUUCCUCUUAUUGGAAAAGAACUCGUCGACCUUACCGUCAACAGUCAAGGAAUCCACCACAUCAAGAGCAUAAUCAUCCUCCAAAACGUCGUCACUCCUUGGCUUUACAACACUAUCAAAAAUCGAAGAUUGAACUUUUUUUUAUGAGAAAUCCCAAAAUAAGACUUGAACAAUUAAUAGAACAAACCCCCAAAGAAAAAAUAUUAAAAACCUUGAGAAUGAAGAAAGAAAAACUUACAAAAGAUGAAAGAUUAGUGUCAAAUAGAAAACGAAUAGCAAAGCCAAGGUAAAAGCGAAGUAGGUAGCCAAUAAGAAAGAAAACCUAGCAUGAGAUUUUUUUCUUUUUAUUUUUAAAGUGACAUUGGCAGUCGACCUCAAAAAUAUUGGCACUACCAUUUUUAUCAUCCUAUAGAAGAGAUCGGAUAGAUGGCAAAAAUAUAAAGAGGAGGCACGAAUAGGGGCAUAAUAAGGGGGUAGAGGAUUUGUGUUCACCAUGAAUAGUGGUGUAGACUUUCUACUGAGGAUUGCAAAUCUCAAUUUGAUCAUGUAAAUCUAUGUCAUUGAAAUAAUUGCAGUAAUGUUUCCUUCUUUUAACAUAAAAUAGUAAUUUAGAUGAAUAAUAAAUACAUGUAUUUUUAUUUAAAAUUUAAAUUUAAAUUUGUUUUCAAUUUUAAAUAAUUAAGUCUCAAUUUUUUCCUAUUUUAAAUAAAAAAUCAUGAAAUAGGAAAAAAUUGAGACUUAAUUAAUAUUAAUUUCCUAAACUUUAAGGCGUUAUCGAUAAAUCAUUGAAUAUAAAAUUUUUUAAUAAUUUUUUUAAUUUGUUUGAUAAUUUAUUUUUUGAAACCACUCAAUGAAAUAUUUUCAAUAAAAAUGUGUUGAAAAUCUUAAACAGCUUUUAACUACUUAAUCUAUUAAAUAGUGUUGUUUAAGGAAUGAUAUGUUAUUUAAUUACAUUAAUUUUAUAUUCUUUCUUUUUUAACUUUUCCAAUGCAAAUGUUUAUAAAAUCAUAUUCCCUUUUACAAAGUAUUUAAUAGAAAAUCUACUCAACACUUAAUUUUCAAUAAUAUACCAAACAAUUUUUAUAUCAUAACUUUAGUGGUUAAAUUAUCAGUGCUAAAAUUUUUUAGUUUAUCAAAUAGUACCUUAGUGAAAUAUAUGUCUAUCUGUCUAGUUACAUAUAGACCAAGCAAUUCCAGAUACGAUUCACUAACACAACACAAACAUGAUACUGAAUUAAACAUAUUUGACUUUAGUAAGAUCGUAUUCUUGUCAUGAUUGUGUCAACUCAUUUAUGACCAUGAAAAUAUUCAAGUUCUAUGUGGGUUGACAUAUCUAACUUGUAUAUAUAUGACAUGUUUAUACAUAUUUUAUUAAUUACAUUAAUAGGUUAAUCGACAUUACUUAAUAUAUUUAGCUCAUUUAUUAAUAUUAAAAAGACAUAAAAUAACUUAUCAAUUAUGUUUAAAUAAGUUAAUCUUAUUUUAACGUGUUAAUCAUGUUAUAUUGUGUAAUUAAUCAAAAAAAAUACUAAACGUGUAAUAAAUAAGAUUAACGUGUAAUAAACGUGUCAUAUUCAUGUCAAAUGUAUGAUUAAUUAAUUGCAUCGUGUUCAUGUCAAUUUAUUUAUUUGUUAUACCUUUAUGCAAGUGGUACAUGUAUCAACCCUAAUUCAUGCGAGCUCAGACUUUAAUUUAGACUUGGGGUUAUGCCACUUAAGGCAAGAUUGGAGUCAUUACCCAAUUUUUACGAGUAACCAAGAACCAGAUAUAUAGGCUUCAAGACAAUAAGUUUUAUCAUUACCAAAGAAUUUGGUAUGAAGAUUUUAGUAUUAAUUAAAGAAGUAAUCAAAGUUUCUAAGCCCUCUUGGGGUAACACAACCUUAAUUUAUUAUUUCACUUUGGAUUAACCCAGUCAAGAUUUUCAAGUCAAAUAGACACCUCACCUUUACUUAAAAAACCAUGCAAUUCAUAAAUAAUUAAAUGUCUCAUGCUAUCACUUAUGUAUCUAAAAAGAUACAAGUGGACUAGUAACCUUAAGUGGUUUGUCAACCAUUAAAUGUUGCAAACAAUUAUAUAACUAUUUAACAUAAAACAUCGAAAUUAGAUAAAGGAAGGCUAGGCUAGGUAAAGGCAAAACAAAAAAUUUUAGUGCUUUUUUGAAAGAAAGUGAGAGAACACUAGAGGAAAGGAAAAGACUUCUGAAUUCUAAGUUAUGAUAAAAUAAAGAAAGAAUGGGUAUUUAUAGUUGGGAGCUAAGUGGAAUGAAUGAUUGAGAUUCAGUGAGAUGAACUAUCCAUUUUAGAGGAUAAAUUUGACAAUUAUCUCUAAAUAAUGAUAAUUAGCUAUGUUUAUUACUUUGGAGAUAACUAUAAAGGUAAGAAGAAAACGAAAAAACAUGUUUCUGAAUAAUUAAGUCAAAAAGUAUGAGCAAAUCCAAUCUUAUCUAUUAAAAGCAUAUUGUCAAUCUACAAUAUUGAGUGUUUGACAAUAUUUUUUCUAUUUAUCUCAAUAAUAUUUCUCAUUUUAUUAUUAUUCUACAAAUCUAAAUUAUGUUUUUAAUUAUCCAAAAUUCAAGGUAUAAAAUUGAUGCUAACAAUUUGGCCCCCCUUGAUCGAGCACGGUACAAGUGAAAAUCAAUGUUUGUAAAGCAAAUUUUGCAACUUGACGAGCAUAAAACUCUGAAGUGCAGGUCAUGCUCGAUGAUGACUUGCCUCCAUACUCUGAAGAGUUUAAACCUAUCAUAGCUCAAAAUCAUGGGUUUUAUAAAAUGAUUUUACUUUAGGUGGUUGAAGAAAACUUUAGGGCUACUAAAGAAAAAUGGAAGCUUGGGAUUAAUGUCAGACCAAAUCUAAGAUUAUUGAAUUUGGAUUUAAUAUUGCAUUUUUGAGCUUUCGAAAAAAAAUUCUAAAGUUGCCUAAAAAAAAUGGGGAUUAUUAUGAAUAAAACUUUACUUUAGGAUUGCCGAAUAAGAACUCUAGGGUUGUCAAGAAAAGACUUUGCUUCAAGGUUGUCGAAUAAAAACUCUACGAUUGCCAGAGAAAGUCCAAAGGUUGUUAGGUAAAUUUAGUGAAGAUGAUUUUCGAUUCAAAUUAUUGAAAAGGAUUAUGGGGUUUCAAAAAAUGAAAAACUUGAGGUUGCUAGGAAAAUAUGCAGUGCAAAUUUAAUGCAAAAUUAUUGAAAUGAACUCUAAGUUGCAAAGAGAAUAUUGUCUUGAAACUUGAUUUUGAAAAAACCUUCAACUAUGUUGAUUGGUGCUUCCUUAUUAAGGUCAUAAAGGCAAUGGGCUUUGGUUCUAAAUGACAAAGCUGGAUUUAUGAAUGCAUAUUGACUGUGAAGGUUUUAGUCUUGGUGAAUGGAUAGACCACAUUUGAGUUCCCCAUGAUGAAAAGAUUACGAUAAAGUGAUCUUCUGUCACCUUUUCUUUUUAUUAUGGCUAUCGAGGCCCUUCAUAUUCUCCUUUCUAAGCCAGAAUCUCUCCAUCUCUUUUGAGGCAUCAGACUUACAUCUUUUGGUAUGAUCAUAUCUCAUCUUUAGUUCGCAAAUGACAUGGUUAUCUUCUUAAAGCUGGACUUCUAGGGUGCUUUUAUUGUUCACAAGAUACUACAUUAUUUUGAGCUAGUUUCUGGGUUGAAAAUUGAUUUAAGUAAAUCUUGUAUCUACCCUAUGGGUAUCGAGGAUGCGGUGGGUACCAAAAUGGUGCUUAUUUUGUAGUGUAACGUGGGAAUAUUACCGUUCAUGUAUCUUGGUGCUCUUCUUGGUGCCAAUCUUAGGAGCUUUAGCACAUGGGAUCUUGUGGUUAAUAAAUUCAAUCAACGUUUUACGUUUUGGCAUAGGGCAUAUAUGUCAUUCAGAGGUGGGUUAGCUCUUAUUGACUUUAUGCUUAAUUCGCUUCUUCUUUACUACUUAUCUAUUUUCCAAGCCCUAAAGGGUGUUCUUCAUAAGCUAAAACAGUUGAAAAAAUUUUUUUACAAGGGGUAACCCUGGCAAGUGUAAAAUUUCAAAAGUUAAAUGGAGAAUAUUAUGCAAACUAAAUGGAUAUGGUAGGCUAGGAAUCUUUAGCCUUAGCCACAAAAAAUGGCACUUCUUACAAAAAGGUGGUAGUGUUAUGGUACUGAAAAUAACGCUCUUUAGAGAUGCUUGAAGGCAGAAAAAUAUGGCAAAGGUUAGUCCAGUUAGCUCCCUUUUAUGGCAUGACCCUUUAGAAUGUCAUUGGUUUGGCAAAGCACUAUCAACAUACCUUCUAGUGAGGGAGUUGAAGAGCUUUUUGGUUUUCAUGCUUGUCAUUGGAUCAUAGGUAAUGGUGCCUUUGUCUUCUUUUGGCUUGAUUAAUGGAUCCUUGAGAAUGAGAUACUAUGCUCCAAAUUUCCCAAACUUUUCUCACUAAUAACUAAUAGGAGGCACGGUGCUUGACAUUUAGCACAACGACAACUAGUCUAUCUCUUUCUUAUGUAACUUUUACUCAUGGGAGACUAGCUUUUACAAUGAGCUUUGUGCUUUGUUGAGGCACAUUGUACUUGUACCUAGCAAGGCAAACAAACUCAUAUAAGAGUACGAUCCCAGAGGUAACAUUUUGGUCAAAAUUUUUUACUUUUUAUUUGAUGCUGAUCCUAGUAAUUAAACUUUAUGACUACACUCCAUGUAAAAAUUAUCUAUCCCACCAAAACUACAAGGUUUUUUAUGGCUUGCUUCUUUUGACUUGAACCCCUCAAAAUCCUUCUUUCAUUUGAGGGGAAUUGAAUUUAGCUUUGAGUAAUUGCAUUGCACUUGGUGUGAUUUUGAGUUAGAGAUGUGCUCCCAUAUUUUUCUCACAUGCUACUUCAGUUAGAUGGUAUGAGGUCUUAUUCUUCAAUGGUGGGGUAUGUCAUGGUCUUCCCCUACAAUAGUACCGUUUCUUUUUGCAAUCUUGAGCUGAUUAUGUUUUUGUGGGUGACACGUGCAAGCAUUGGAUGGUAGUUUGUGGCGUUACGUUUUGAUCUUUUUGGUUGGCUUGCAAUGAGUCGGUAUUUAACAGUAAAGUAUGGGAUGGUUUUGAAAUCUUUUUUUUUAUUAAAAUGUAAUCCAUGUUCUAGAUACGUGCAUGUGAUGGAAAUGAUGUGAUCGAUGAUAUUGGCUGGUGGGUCGAACCACGGAACACAUCCAUCAAACAAUCUCCUCUACACUCAUAACUAGGAGUCUUUUAAAAGGCUUCAUUGGAUGGUGAGUAUAAAUUUAAUGUUGAUGGUGCAACAAGGGGCAAACUAGAUCCAAUAGGAUGUGGAGGGGUUCUUCACAACUCGGAGGUUUAUGUGGCUAGUGUCUUCUUUGAGCCAUUUGGCAUUCAAGACUCCAACUUUUCAAAGCUCAUGGCUAUUCUUAAUGUGUUGCGCCUUUUCUCUUGCUCUUUGUUUGUAGGUUCAAAGUUGAUUGUAGAGUUCGGCUCUAGGAUGGCUCUAUCUUGGGAGUCCAUGAUAAUUCUAUUUUAUAGAAUUAUUUUAUUUCAAUUUUGUUAUUAAAUAUUAGCUAAGUCAUCAAUUUUUAAUUAUAAUUUAUUUAUUUUUAGUUUUUUUAUUUAAUUAGUUUAUUUUUAACUGAGUUAUUUUAAUUUUAUAUUAUUCUUUUUAAUUUGGUUAUUAUUUAUUAGUUUUUAUAUAUUUUUUUUUGUAGGAACUAAAAGAAAUUGGGCUUAAUUUUGGAAAGUGAGAUGUUGAGAGACCCGAAAGUCUGCUUGCAUAUGCUUUAGUGUUUUAGCCAUAACUCAAGGUACAGAACUUCAAAUGAUACGAUUCUUAGACCAUUGGAAAGCUAAGAGACAGAGCUACAAUUUUCAUUUUGCUUCGAAGAUAAAGAGAAUCGUGUUGGAAAAUGACUGGACGUAUGGUUUUGGGAAUGAAAAUUUGUAAAGAUUUACAGUUGAUUUUUGGGUCUCUCAUUACACUUUUAAAUCCAAUUAAACCCUAGGUCGACUUAAGGAACUUUAGGUUAAGUUUAUUAGUACAAAUAGGAUAUGUUUAACAACAUUAGAGAGAUAACUUUUUGGAGAUUCAAGAAGCUAGGAGUUGAGGCUGAAACUUGGAGAUCAAAGCGGCAAAUAUUGUUUUUGUUUUCUUCCUUGGCUUUUAUUAUUCUUGUUAUUCUCAAUGGUUGAAUUUAUUACAAUGUUAUUUGUUUUUGCAAUUAUGAGUAGCUAAUUUUCUUUUUUUAGGAUUACAAUUGAACUCACAUGUAAUCUAAAUUUUUAAUCUCUUUCUUUCUUAUUUUUAAUGGAAUUGAAUUGUUUAUUCCAAUUUAUUCUUAAUGUUUUUAAUUGCUUGGCCACCAAUUAAAUUGAUUUAGGAACCUAAGCCAACUUGGGAAAAUGAGUUUAGUGUAGACUAAAAUUGGGAUAACAUAUUAUCAUAGUUAUUGAUUUACGUAUAAGAUAUGGAUAUACCUAUAGGCUAUAUGUAGCCAGAUUAGAGCCUGGACUUAAUGAGUCUGUUUUAAUUUCAAUUCACAUAGGGAUAUAAUGUUUUGGUUAAAAUAGAUAUUUUUAUAAGAUAAGUCAGAAGACAUUUAUAAAUAAUUUAGGACUCUAGGUUGGCAAUUCAACCUAUUGAAAUAAGUUAAGAAAGAGAGGUAAGAUUUAGAUGAAGUGUGAGGGAUAUUGUAAUCCUAGGCUUGUUUGAUUUGAUAUUUACUCAAGUUAUUAUUAUUGUGAUUUUUCUUGUUGAUUUAAAUUUUAGUUAAUUAGUUUUAAGUAAUCAAUUAAUUUUGAGUGUUUGGAUAAGAUUAAAUUGUUCUAAAUUUAGUACUUAGUAAAAUUUUAAAUCAAUUCUCUGUGGGAUCGAUACUCUGCUUGCUUAUAUACAAUCUAUUCAAUACGUAUACUUGCACAGUAGAAUUUUAACUGACAGUCCAACAUUGAUAUAAGGAUAAAUGGAACCUAUUUAAUAAAAUUGAUGCUCUUUCACUUUCCUUAGGCAUGGUGUCCUUUACACAUACUUUACAAGAAGGUAACUCAUUCGCAAAUUCUCUUGCAAAAUUUGGACUUGAAAGAAACUUGAUGUUUUCUGCAUGGUUGUAACCUUUACUCACCCUUUUGAUAUUGUUUUAGAGCUAUUGCCUUAUGGUUAAUGUUCUUACUAUUUUGCUUUAUUUUUGGCAUCAUCUUAUGGUACUAAGUGCCAAUAGGUAAUCUUUGAUUAAUGGUACUGAGUACCGCUAGGCUUGCUCAUUGAGCUACUACACCCUUUUAAUUUUUUUUUAUUUUUUAUGUUUUUAUUUUGUUUAAUAUUUCAAGUUACAUAUUUUAAGUUAGAAUUUCUUGAAUUAAAAUAUGCAUUUAUGGCUGAUAGAGUUAAAUAUAAUUGUAAAUGUUUGUAUCAUUUUAUUUAUAUUUACGAAUUUUCUGUAGAUCCAAAUUAAUAAUUUAAAUGUAAGGUAGAAUUUGAUUGUGGUUUUUGAGCUUAAAUAAAAUUGUUUUAUAAGAAAUAAAAGAUAAAUUGGGUAAAUGUUGAAUAAUUCCAAAAGAAUGGGUAUUUGUAAAUUGUGAAAGUUGUAAUUAAAUUAACUUAUUUUGUCAAUUGUGUUCAACUCAAGUUAAAAACUAAGUCAAAUUAAAAUAUAAAUUUUAAGUCAAAUUAGAAUAUAAAUUUCAAAUUUUUAUACAAUUAUAACUAAAAGAAAAAAGAAUUUAUUUAGUCUUUUUAUACUAUUUUAUUCCAAUAUAAUUCAAGUUAUUCAUCCAAAUCAAGCUUUAGGUAUAAAUUUUUUUUUGAAAUAUUACAAAUUUUUUUAUGGAAGGAUAAUUCAAAUUUAAUUUUUGUAAAGAAGAUAAAUUGACGUGCCUAUUCUGAAAUCAAAUAUUUAAAUAAGAAAAUAUUUAUAAAUAUUUUUUUAGCACCAUAAAUGUUUUACACUUAAACAUCAUUUGGCUUAUUAAUAAGUAUAUAUAUUAUCUACUAAAAAAUUUAUAUUUUUCAAAUAUUUGUUUCAAUUUAAUCUCUAAACACUUCAAUUUUAUUCAAUUUAAUCUUUUAGUAUACAGUUUUGUUGAAUUUAAUUUAUAUGACAUGACACAUAUUUUUUUAAAAUUUUUUUUGAUUUGUUACGUGGCAUUAACUCAUCAACAUAUCAAUGUCACGUUAUUAUGUCAAUGCCACAUGGCACUACCACGUCAUCACAAUAAUGCUACGUGACAUUUCCACAUUAUCAUGAUUGUGCCACAUCACCAAAAUGUGCCAUAUUAACAUGACGUAUGUGAUGAUGUCAUCACUUUUAACUUUUAGAUUCAAUAUUGUUUAAAGAGGAAAUUAAGUUGAUGAGAGAAAUUUUAAGUUUUUUAAAGUUUUAAAUUUAUGUCUUAGUGAGUUAAUAUGUAUAAAAACUAUAGCGGAAUUAAAACUUGAACAUCUAUAUCUAUCCCGACAGAAGUGGGGCAGGACCAUGGUGCUUGGCUCUUGAUCAGAUAUAUUUGUGGUUGCGGAACACAAAUCGCUACAUGUUGGUGGAACAUAAGUGGCGCUGCUUUCAGUUUCAAAAUAUAAUUGUACCCUCGCCCAGCUGACAGAAACUUGGCAACUUUUGGCUUUGUCGUGGCUUUAAUUAGAAGUAACCCAAUAUUUCAUUGGCAGAUAAACACAGAGCCAACAACUCCCACUGAGUAGUGAAUGCUCUACCUAGGAAACUAAAUUCUAUCCCUUCAUUUCACGAGAAAAAUAAGAAAAUUCAUUGAUGUGUAACCCAAGUUCAACCCUCUCCUGCCCCCAAGUCAUUGUGUUUUGUGCUUUUCCAGGAGUUAUAACCUCUUUUGGCUCCUCUACCUCUUCAAACAAACACAAGUAGUCAUAGCUGAAGACUGAAGAGACAAUCAAGCAAAGAAAGCAAAAAAAAUGCAAGAGACGAUCGUGCUCUACCCAUCGCCAGGCUUGGGCCAUGUGGUGUCAAUGGUGGAGCUAGGCAAACUCAUCCUACAACAGCGAAACCACCAAUUUUCCAUCACCAUCCUCCUUACUACUGGUUUUUGGGACACCCCAAGCAUCAUCUCCUACAUCAAUUCUGUCUCCCAAGCCUACCCAUCCAUCUCCUUUCGCCGCUUCCCAUCCAUCUCCGUCUCCAUGGACCAAAAAUGCAGCGGUGCUGCGAUUUAUUUCCAGUUCGUCCGCCUCCAUGCGCCCAACGCACUCCUUUCUCUUCAGGAAAUCUCAAAAGAUCACAAGAUCUCUGCUUUUGUCAUAGAUCUUUUCUGCACUUCUAGUCUAUCCAUGGGAAAAGAUCUCAAAAUCCCCACUUUUUACUUCUAUGCCUCUGGUGCUUCUUCCCUUGCUGCCUUCCUUCAAUUCUCGAAACUUGAUGAACAAACCACUGAGAGCUUCAGAGAUCUCCCUGACACAGUCUUUCAUUUCCACGGCCUGCCACCGUUGAAAGCCAUACACAUGCCAGACCCCACACUUGAUAGAGAAGAUCCUGCUUAUCGGGACUUUAUAUACUUCUGUUCAGGCCUCGCACAAUCAGAUGGAAUUAUAGUUAACACAUUUGAAGAGCUCGAACCGAUUUCCAUCAAGGCUAUUGCUGAUGGGUUAUGCCUCGUUGAUGCUCCAACUCCACCAACUUACUACAUCGGACCAUUGAUUGCAGCAGGUAGUAAAGCUGAACACGAGUGUUUAUCGUGGCUGGAGAAGCAACCGUGUAAAAGCGUUGUGUUCUUGUGCUUUGGGAGCCGUGGGUCGUUCUCUCGGGUCCAAAUUAUGGAAAUAGCAAAAGGUUUGGAAAGGAGUGGGCAAAGGUUCUUGUGGGUGGUAAAAAAUCCACCUCGCGACGAAAAGGCAAAGCAAACUGACGAAAGCCCCAAUGUGGAUCUAGACUCUCUUUUGCCAGAGGGUUUUAUGGAGAGAACCAAAGAUAGGGGUCUGGUUGUGAAGUCAUUUGCGCCACAAGUAGCAGUGCUGAACAAGGACUCGGUUGGUGGCUUUGUGACUCAUUGUGGGUGGAACUCCAUCUUAGAAGCAGCGGUCGCGGGGGUGCCUAUGAUUGCAUGGCCUUUAUAUGCAGAGCAACACUUGAAUCGGAACAUUUUGGUUCAGGAUAUGAAGAUGGCUAUCCCUGUGGAGCAAAGACAGGAAGAUGGGUUCGUGAGUGGAACUGAGUUGGAGAAGCGAGUCACGGAGUUGAUGGAUUCCGACAUUGGCAUGGAGCUUAGAGAAAGGAGUUGGAAGAUGAGAGAGAAGGCCUUGGCUGCCUGGGGUCCUUCAGGGUCUUCCACUAAAGCACUAACCAAGUUGAUUGACUUGUGGAAGCGAGGUUGAGAAUCAACUGUUUUGUUUUGUCCUGUUCGCAUGGUAUCUAUGGUGGAUCACAAAUCCUCUGCCCGUAUUGUGCCCCAGCCGUGUCUCCUCUCUAUAUUUUUGCCAUCUGUUUUAUUUCUUUGGCAGUUAAUAUCAACUAAAAAAAAAGAAAAAAAAUCUCAUGUUAGGUUUUUUUACUGUUGACUGUCUACCUCGCUUUGACCUUGUUUUUGGCUGCCUACAUCUCUUUUGCCUUGACUUUUCUAUUUGGCAGGAUGCUUUCAACUUUUGUAAGUUUUUUUUUUAAUUUAUUAAAUUUUAAUUUUAUAUGUAUUAAUUCAUUACAUGAUGUUUUUUUGGAUUUUUUUGAGAGAAGCUAUAUAUGAAUUUUUUUUAAUAGUAAUAAGGUUUCAUUAAACCAUGGGUGUAAAAACACUCACUACCUUGAGAGCAAGUCCCAAAAUACAAAAAUCUCAAGAUGAUAGAAGUUUGAUUGGUGUAUCCACUUGUUUGCAAUAUACCCAAACCAAAACUCGAAGUCCCUUUCAUGGCUACAAGCCAUCCUAUAAAAAAAAAAGAAACGAAACUCCCAGAACCAGAAAGGGGAAGAACAAGAAAUAGCAACACUGAACUCAGAACAACCCCUGUACACAAAAAGUAACAAAAGAGCCUCCCCUUAACAUAGUAAAUCAUCUCAAAACCAAAAAAGUUGAAGAAAAGAUUCCCAACCCAAGAACACUGCUAACAAGCAAUGAAAAGGAGGGAGGAAAGCACAAUCAGAAAAGAUUGCCACAACCAUACUUCAUAAAAAAAAACCCCUUUAAGCUGCAUGUCCCCUAAAUUUUAGAACACACAAAAAGUACUCUGACCAAGACUCAUUGCAUUUUUGGCGAGAGUGUUGGCCUCCCGAUUGGUUUCUCGCGGAACAUGUUUUAUUUCCCACGGCCCCAACUGUUCUUUAAUUCUUUUAAUAAGAAUCACCCAUUUGCGCAACCUCCAUGGCACUUGAGAACCAUUAUUUACCCGAUUAACAACAUUACUAGCAUCACUUUCAAUAAUCAGAAGAUGGCUUUCUUUCCAUUUUGAAGUAAAGAAGAUCAAGAUAACUUCCUUCACAGCCAUGAUUUCAACUUGGGAAGAGUCAUCCAUGCCUAUCAGUUUGGAAAAGUUGAUCUUAACCUCCCCAGACUCAUUCCUCAUAAUUCCACCUAUACCUGUUGGUCCGAGACAACCUUUUGCCAAGCCAUCGAUAUUAAAUUUCAUAAACCCCUGUUUUGGAGUAAUCCAGUUUGUUCUCUUUUUUACUUGUUUAUGUUUCUUCUUCCCGUAACUACCUGUCAAGGGAUAAAAAAAAAAUCCGAAAUUGACCCAUAAUCCAUUGGCCAUUUUGAGUUUGCCCAUGAUGCGAUUCUAAACUUCACAAUCUCCCAGCAUUGCUUUUCAUCCCAUUUCUUUCCUUCAAAAACCACCUUGUUCCUGCUUUUCCAAAUUGUCCAAACGAUGGCGUAAUAAGCGAGUUUCCACAACCUGCAAUCAUAAUUACUAGUAACACAAUCAUUCUAAGAUACAAAAAAAGCUUUAACAGUCCCUGGGGCAACCCACCUGAUAUUGAACAGAUUACACCACGUUCCUUAUAUCUUCCAAGUUUCACCACAUCUGAUAAAAAGGUGACAGCAUGUCUCUUUUUCAUGCUUGCACAAAACACACAAAUCAAAAGCAUCAUGGAGUAUCCCUUUGGCCGCUAAUUCAGCUUUGUCACCAAUUUUCUCAUAUAGAAGUUGCCAAACGAAAGCUUUCGUUCUAUGUGGAGCCGUGCUGGACCAAACCUCUUUCCAUAUCUUGCUCUUUUCAUUGUCAAUAUUUAGUAACAUUCUACAAAAUAAUUUGGUUGUAUUCUUACCACUGGUUUCAAAUUUUCAUAUCAAAGCAUCCUUCAUUUCCUUACUAUGUUGAACCUCUUCCAAGGUGUCCCCUAAAGCGUACCAUUGGCUCUUCUCCCAAGCAAAUAAACUUUUUCGCAAAAGGAUGUUGUCAAGCCCAACUCUACAAUAUGUUUAUUAUGCCAUUUUUACAUAAGAAUGCAUGUUUGCUUCCUUGGGUACCUUGAAAAUCGUUAAAGGACGGUAUUGUAUCAAAUGGUACAAUUAAGUUGAAUUAAGCCUCGAACUAGUCCAAAUGGAGAUUUUAAGAUGAAAUUGAGAAUUUUAAAACUCCAGAAUGACUUAAAAUGGUGAUUCGAAGUUCGAGGACCGAUUUGGAGUCAAAUUGGAAUUUUUAUGAUCUAGGGGCAAAAUGGUCAUUUUGCCACCCGAGGUUAAAAUUGAAAUGUUUGAAGAAUUUUUUAUCAAGAUUGACUAUUUAGAACAUAAUUUGAGUUUGAGAAGUGAAAAAUUUUAAUUCUGGCAUUUUUUCGAGCAUAGGGGUAAAAUAGUCAUUUUGCCACCCAAGGGCAAAAUUGUAAUUUUUCACCACCCAACACUUGUUCAGCACAUGGAUUUUACCCAAUAUUAUCAUGGAUAAUUGAGAAAUUUUAAGUGGUGGAGAGAGAUUGCUUAAUGGCUAAGUAUGACACAUUGACCAAAGGAAUGGUGACAUGCGUCAAAUUUAUAUCCAUUUAUUAUUUAGCUUAAAAAUUAGCACAAAAUCAGCCUAUUUCUCAUUCAUAUGGCCGGCCAAAGAAGAACAAAGGAAGAAAAGAAAGAACAAGAACCCUAGGGUGAAAAUUCAAGAGAAAAAUUGGUGGAUUUCAAGUAAUCAAGCAAUCAAAGGUAAAAUUUCUUGAUUUUGACUUGUGAUCUACCUUUUCUAUGCAUUAUUUUGCAUUUUCCAUGGUUGAAUCACAAGAUAUCAUGAAGGAUUUAUGGCUGACCGAAUUUAGAGAGAGAAGAUUUGAUAGUUGUUUUGGUUAGAUUUUAAGAUAUUCAAGUGUUUUUAGUUAGUUGGUGAUGUGUAGCAUGAAAAUCAAAUAAGAAAAAUUCAUUUUCUCCCAUAACCCAUCAUUGGCCAAAUUUUCCAUGUAGAGUGUGGAUGAUGAUUUUGAUUUUAUUUCAAGUGGAUUGGUUAGGAAAUGAUGAAUUAUGGUGAGAAAAUCAAGUAGGAAAAAUCAUAGUAUUGAUGCACCCAACAUGGCCGAAUUUUUCAAGAGAAAAUGUGAAGAUGAUUUUGCUAGAUUUUAUGCUAUUUGACUUGUGUUUGAUGAUUUAGAGUAUUGGGAGAAAAAUGGAAUUAUUUGGAGUUAAAUUGGACAUAUUGGCCAAUUAAUCGGGUGAUAUAUCGAAUUAGGCCAAUACCAUUUUAUUUAGGUACACAAUUGAAUUUGUGUAGAGUACCUUGUUUGGACGAUAAUCCGAACAAUUUGCAUCCCAUUUCAUGCAUUAGUAAAGAACCUGAAAUAGAUUUAUAAUGGUAUGACACAGUAUAUUGAAUUAUGUGUCGUGUAUUGUGUAUAGGUGGUGAGCCCUCUAAUAAGGGUAAAGACGUUGUGUCAGAGGAUUGAGAAUAGGAGUAUUUCAAACUCUUGAUACUGUGAGUAACCUUACUAUCGUCUUAAUUAUCUAAAAUGGUUUUAUCCGAUUUUGUGAUUUUAUGGAAAAUGAGUUAAAUGGUAAAUCUUUGUGUUUUGUAAUUAAAAUGUGAUUUAAUGAAAUGAUUUUAUAACAUUGUCUUGAAAUNNNNNNNNNNNNNNNNNNNNNNNNNNNNNNNNNNNNNNNNNNNNNNNNNNNNNNNNNNNNNNNNNNNNNNNNNNNNNNNNNNNNNNNNNNNNNNNNNNNNNNNNNNNNNNNNNNNNNNNNNNNNNNNNNNNNNNNNNNNNNNNNNNNNNNNNNNNNNNNNNNNNNNNNNNNNNNNNNNNNNNNNNNNNNNNNNNNNNNNNNNNNNNNNNNNNNNNNNNNNNNNNNNNNNNNNNNNNNNNNNNNNNNNNNNNNNNNNNNNNNNNNNNNNNNNNNNNNNNNNNNNNNNNNNNNNNNNNNNNNNNNNNNNNNNNNNNNNNNACUCCUGAGGUUAACACUUUCGAGUUCACUUCAUGCAAAAUCACCACGUGAGGGUGAACUCGGCCAAUGCCAAGGAACGACUAUGUUUUCAAAAUAAAAACAUGAUUUAUAUGUAUAUAAUUUUUUAACAGCCUUGGCGGACUUAGUUAGGAUAGCCAUCGGCCAAGGUAUCCUUAAUAACUGAGUAUGAUAAUGAUUUUUGGCACGAGCCAAGCUUUUCAGAAAAUCAUAAGCCUCAAUGAUUAUUUGGAUGAAAUAAAUUUAUUUUAUCUCAUAAAAAUGAGUUUGAAAUGCUAUGAAUUAUUUUAUGCUAAUCUAUUUUAUCUGUCUCCAUUUACUUAGCUUUAGAUAUUUUAGAUGGUAUUUGUUUACUCACUGGGAUUAUAUAAUCUCACCACCCUCCUUUCCACCCCUUUCAGGCUCAGGAUAGUCGGUAGAUAGCUCACUUUGUUGAGGGCUACAGUGGGACUUGCAUACUCAAAAAUUGUACGUUUACUACUUUUAUUACUUUUGAUCGUUCGUGGGCCCACGUGUCACUAUAAAUUAAAUUUUAUACCUUGGUUAUCUGUAUUAUAGUAUGUAUGAAUUUAUUUAGCUUUUACGCUACAAAAAUUAUUUACCAAUAACUCUAUAAAUAUUAUUUUAUAAGAAAAUAGAAUAUUUUAUUGAAUAUUUUUAUUAUAUUCAAAUAGUCAUAAUUUCACUUUAAAUGAAUGUUUUAGAUAUCUAAACUUAUUUUUAAUUAUGAAAUAUGUGUUUUCUAGUCGCAUACUACAUUUUUUACUGGUUUUGAGAUUUUCGAAGAAAAAUGACCAAAAUACCCCUGUGUAGUUGAAAUUUCUCUUUGACUGUUUUUGAAUUGAAAUUAGGUCAUAUCACUUUAAAACAUGAUAUUUGAUAAUGGUUACUCACAGAAAAAAUGAGAAACUGAUAUUAAAGCUUUGCAGGGUUUCGAUUGACAUUUCGAGUAAUGAGUGUCGAUCGGGACACUGCGGCGGUUAUCACGGGCUCGAGGGGAGUUUCGGGUCGUGAUAGAUGUCCCAUAACUAUACGUUCCCUGACUAGUUCCCAAAAUCAACCACUUUACCAGUUUUGUUUGAACAGAGCGCAUAAAUCUGAGGAAAUGCAUUAGUAAGCAGAAUACCUUUAAUCCACUAGUCCGUCCAAAACUAUUUGUUUUUACCAUUGCUUGUAACGAAGCCCAGAUUUGAUGUGACUUGCAAGAAAAACUUAUUAGUGAUAAUAAAAGGAUUAAUAAUUCUUUUCCACUAGCUAGAAAAAUUCCUAUUUACUCUCGUGUUUGGCAUAAAGGUGGAUGGAUCCCUGCAAGUCUUUUCCGUAAUCAUUUUCCUCCAUAGACUCACUCUUUCAUUUUUGUACCUCUAAAUCCAUUUGUUAAGUAGGGCUCUAUUUCGAUUCCCAAAUCGACAAUUCCUAUCCCUCCGCAGUCCGUAUAAUUGUUAACAGCCUCCUAUUUGAUGUAAUGAACUCUUUUCUUUUCCUCAUUAUCACCCUAGAGAAACUUUCGCUACAGCUUGUCGAUUUUGUUCUUAACACCGCUCGAAAGGUAAAACAGAGACAUGUAAUAGCAAAGAAGGUUUGCCAGGACUGAUUUUAAUAAGGUAAUGCGACCUCCCAUCGACAAAAAUUUCACCUUCCAACCCACGAGCUUGCUUUCCUCCUUUUCGAUGACUGGGUUCCAAAAACCCAUUGAGUUGUGAUUUAUUCCCAACAGUAAACCGAGAUAGGCAGUAGGGAUUCUACCCACUUUGUAGUUGAUAAAUCUCACCUAUUUUUCAACCAUAUGCUCUUUAAUGCUAAUGCCUAGAAGCUGACUCUUAUGGUAAUUAAUCUUGAGUCUUGAGACACUUUGGAAGCACUUCAGGAUUCUUUUAAGAACCAUCAACUUAUCUAACUCAUUGUUACAAAACAACAGAGUAUCGUAAGCAAACUAGAGAUGAGAAAUACAAAAAACCUCGUUUCCCGAUUCACACUACCUUACAUUUGCCAUUCGCUUCAGCCUUAUUUAGCAUACAACUUAGAGUUUUAACAAUGAUGAUAAAUAAAAAUGGUAAAAGAGGACAACUUCAGUGAAGUCCCCUUUUCAUUUUGAAUUGUCUCAACGAUGACUCAUUCACUAGAAUUGACACCAUAGCUGAACUAACACAUUCUUUAACCCACAACUUCCAUCGAUUGUCGAAACCCAUUUUUCUCAUGAUCAGAUCAAGGAAACUCUAGUAACGUAGUCGUAAGCCUUUUCAAAAUCAAUCUUAAACAUCAAACCCCCAUUUCCAUUUUUAAGAGCAUCAACCACUUCAUUGGCUAUAAGGGAACAGUCCAUAAUUUGUUGACCUUGCACGAAUGCAAAUUAGUUUCUGCCAAUGAUUUCUUCCACAACACCUUUCACUCUAUUGGCUAAAGUUUUUGCCAUAAUCUUGUAUACGCAUAUGACUAAACUUAUCGGUCGGUAGUCAUUCAAUCUUAUUGGACUUUGAACCUUCGAGGAUACGUGUGAGGAAAGAUGAAUUAACGCUCCUGCCUAAUUUACCAUUGCAAUAGAACUCAGCCAUGUAGUUCAUCACUUCUUUCUUUUCCACACGCCAUUGUUUUUUUAAGAAUUCCAUACUAUACCCAUUCGAUCUCGACACUUUCUCACCAUCGCAGCUUUGUAUUACUUCCCAGACUUCUUCUUCUGAGAAAGGUCUUUCUAGUAGCCUUAUUGAUUCUCUUUUAAAGACUUGAAUUAGCAUCUCAUAUCUUUUAGCUCAAGCACUUCUUUUAGCUCAAGCACUUCCUGCUCCAUAAAAUAAUUCUCGAAAUGAUUCACAAUAAUUUCUCUAAUUUCUUGUGGAUAUUCAAAUAUUCCUUCAUCACACUUUAUUUUCUCAAUGAAAUUUCUCCUUUGUCUAGCUGAAGCCAUGGCGUGGAAAUACUUUGUGUUUCGGUCUCCUUCUUGAACCCAUUUGCAUAUCGAUCUCUGCCUCUAUUCCACUUCCUCAGUUCUAUAAAGUCUCCAUAACUCAGCCUUCUUUUUUACAAUUUCCAUUUUUUCUAUUUCCUCUACUGCUUGGUCUUGGCUGACAUUAAACAUAGUCUUCAAAUCUUUUUCCACCUUCUGAAUCUACUUAUUUGUGCAUCCUAUUUCCUUUGCUUGCCACUUUUUAAUUAGUGGCUUUAGACCUCUCAAUUUUCCCAUAGCUUUUGUUUCGCCUCUCCUCAGUCUUGUCUCUAUUCUAAUGAUCCUUUACGAUUUGAUGGAAGCUUAUCUGAUCAAGCCAAUAGUUGAACAUUUUAAAAGGCCUAAGCCCCCAUUUAAAAGAGGUUGUCUUAACACAAUAGGAUUAUAGUCUGAUAAUGAGCUAGGAAGGCAGCUUUGAAUUAGUCCUUGCUCGAUCUGAAGCCAUUCAACCCCUAACAAAAACCUGUCGAUUCUGCUAUAGACCCAACCAUCUCUAAAGCCACACCAAGUGAAUUAAUCCUCUAUUAGUUCAAGGUCAACAAGAGCAAUGUUAUUAAUAAACUCGUUGAACUUUUCCUUUAGUUUUCCCACUCCUUUUUUCCUAACCCUUUCUUGUUCAUUUCUUAUUGUAUUAAAAUCUCCUUUCAAACACCAUAUAAUGUCUUUACUUUAGAUCAGUUGUUCAAGUUCCUCCCAUAGCUUUUUCUUCAAACUCUCUUCAUUGGGACUGUAGAUGUCUAUGAAUCCACAACAUUUUUUCACUCCACUUAUUUUCCCUAUUACAGUGAGGAAAUGUCAAUCUUGCACCUGUUCACACAACUAGAAGAAGUCAUCUCACCAUACACUAACUAAACCCCUUGAUCGUCUUCCCGAGAUAGCAUAGCUUCCAUUAAUCUUAUCCCCUCUAGUUCUCCACAAUUGCUUAAACAAAUUUCUUUCAACUUUCUGUAACUUUGUCUCUUGUAGUAGAACCAUAUUAGGUUUUUAUCUUUUUACAAUAUUUUUCGUCGUUAGUUUCUUUUCGUUCCUACCCAAACCUCUAACAUUCGACAAAAUUAUUAUCAUGUCAAGGGAAAGUACACUGAUUCUCUCAAACAUUCAAAACACUUACUUGCUAUGAGCCUUUUCGGUCAUGACCUCCUUCAUGCCAGUAACAUAGCAUAGAACCUCCUCUAUUCCUUUAACAAACUCAAGACUCAUCAAAUUACUCAUUUCAAAAAUCAAUUCAUUUUCCUUGUUUAUGUCCACACUGCCCUCAUCAGCAUCUUCAUCAUCGUCGGAACUUAUUUGUGCUGUGGCACUACAGUAUCUUCCAUCAUUUUUUCUUUCCAUCAUGUUUUGCCCAUUUCCAUUUUUCUUUGUGCACACUACCUUCCUUCCCCAUUUUUCAUUCCCAAAUUCUACUUGCUGUUUCAAUGAUGUGUCACCCUUACCUAGAGUCAAAUUCUCCGAAAAGCAUAAUUCCUCUUUUUCAUCCUCAACAUGAAGUUUAUACCCACCUUUCCUGCCUUUAAAAAAACCUUUAGCUUUUUUCAGAUUUGCUAUCCCUUUGCCUUUACUUUUCUUCCUUAUUUUCCUAUUACUUUCCCCCUUAACCUUCCUCUUUGAUUUCCUUCCAAUUGUUUUCACCAUAGACUUUCUUCUUCCAUCUCAUUUUGAGUCCUAGCUCCUUGAUCUAAGCCAUUUUUCUGGUAAUCUGUAAAAACUCAACUUGUUCAAAUGAAACCAACGAUCUGGCAGCUUCCUUUUCCUUUUCAAUAUUGGUUUACCUUCAUUCUUUCGAUCUUGAUAUCUUCUUUCCUCGAAUGUGAUUUUCAUUUGCUUGCUUUGUCUUUCAUCUUGCCCCCUCAAGACUUUGAUUGUUUCCUCGUCCCUUGACAACCUAUCCCCUUUCUCCUUUGAUUUGGCCUUGCCCUUUUCCAUUUUCACAACCCGCUCCAACAGCUUUAGCCUCUUGUCUCAUUCUUUACUAAAUUCUGGCCUGUUAAUUCCUCAUUUCCUAACUUGUGGGCUUGACACCUAGCUUCUAAUCCACAUUGGUUUCUAGUUUGGUCUUCAAAAACCUUUUCUAUGAUUGAACUUGUCUUACUUGUUUGGCCUAGACUUCCUCUUUCCCUUAGGUUUGACUCAACACUCUCUAUUCCUUUUUCAUUUGUAGAAUGGACACGUGACUUCUUUUUCAUUUGUUUUGUUUCCCCUUAUCCCGUCAGUGUCCCUUUUUCAAACUUUGAAUUGUCACCUUUUGUACCUUCCUUUGGUUGAAUAGAUGAUUUUACCCUUCAUUUUGUUUUUUUUUUCCUUUUUUGGCCUUACCAACUGAACAUCUUCAGCCCCUCUUUUGGUACUUUCUAUCGCACCCUCCACCCCUAAAUUGUUUUUAUCCAAGCCCCGAUCACCCUCAUCCGAUGUAUCACUAGGCGUCUCAUUGCAUCUCGAAAUUGCCUCACAGCUUAAAACUUCCUUUAUUGAAUCUCUGACUAGGAAACCUUUACCGUUAACCUCAAUUGGCAUGAAUGGAAAAAUAUCUUGAAGAGAUCUAACCUUCACAAGGAUGGUAGAAUAGUCCAGCCUCCACUUCUCCAUCGUGUCUUGGUCUGUUUGAAGAAACCUACCCCAAAUGUUCCCAAUUACUCUGAAGCUCUCCUCAUUUCGUAUGUGAAGGGAGAUUUCUUCAAUUUUGACCUAAACUUUGUACUACUUGACCUCUUCCCCAGCACUAUAAGGUGAAAGAGACGAGAACCAUGGUUCAAAAAUGUCCUAAUAAUGGUUCAACAAAGUCUCUAUUUCUUCUUUGUUUUUAAAAGACACCAAAACAAACUGACCCCCGAUAGGUCGAACACGGGUAUUUACCCCCUGACAGAACAAAGAAUUUUGGAUAGCUCUGCAACACAAAGGUCGUCUCAGUUCCCCGUGCGCACUGCAUUCCAACUAGUCAAGUUCAUCUUUUUCAAUCAAGAUCGUUCUAACCUCUCUCCCACAAUCAUCGUUCUUAGUAGUUUUUUCUAAAAAGCUUCUUCGACUUUCGCUAUUGCCACUGUUUCUUGUGUUCUCAAAGUUUCAUUAUCGGUGUUUCUAGUGAAAGAUUCUUUAUAGGUCAUUUUUCAGUUUGUCAUCGUCAUAUUUAUGAUUCUUCGCUCACUAUUCUCAUUACGUAACUCAUUUCUGUCUCUUGAUUUUUCUGCUUCAAACACCCGAAUUCUUCUUCCAUAAAUCCAUUUGACAUUUCCCCUUUAGAUAGCUGUUUUCAACUCAUUAAUUACUUUGUAUCUAAUGAAAGCAUAUUUGGCUUCCGCAUUGGCUUUCUGUUUUGGGAUAAAGACAUCAACCACAAUGCCAAAUUUGUCAAAGACUUCACUUAAGAGCCACCAAUCCACAUCAAUACUCAAGCUGCCCACAAAAGCAGAGAAGAGCUUGCUUAUCCACUUUCUAAUCCCCCAUGGAUCCUCCUUCCCCCCACCAGAAGUGCUCCAACCAUCUUGCCAAACCUCUCGCUCCCUAAUCCUACUUUUCUCUCUAAGCUUACCUCUCUCUCUCUCUUUCUCAUCAUUGCUUUUUUUACUAUAUAUGAAUAAAUUAUACACCUAAAGAUAGAAAGGAUCGCAUAACAUAUUGUUUCAUUGAAUUUUAUGCUUGUGAAUAACUUUUUUCAUAUUUUUCUUUUGAAAAGCAUUCAGUUUUUCCUUUUAUGUCUUAUUCAUGGUCCAUUGUGUAUUUUGUUCUUUCAUGAAGAUAUUGACAUCAAAUUUGGUUGUAGGUGGUUCUCUUUUCAUUAACUUUUUGAUUUAGGAUUUUUUUGUUUUUUAUAUUUUCUAAACUUUAUAUAUUUGUGUGUUAGUGUAUUGUUUAAUUCAAUUUUGAUGUAUUUUUAUCAUUAAUUGUGUUUAAUUAAUAAAUUUUGGAGCAUAUAGAAUGAAAUAGUAGAAAAAGAAGGUAUGAUUCUUCUAUAAAUUUAAAAGAUAACUAAAUUUAUUUAUUUUGUAUUUUUUAGAGUAUGGACAAAGAAACUACAAAUAUAAUUAAUAAAGAUUAAUUGUGUCUAAGAUUGGAAUUUAAUGAAGAUGAUUUUUCCUAUCAAUUGAACCAAUGGAAAAGUAGAAUCUAGAGCAAGAUAAGUGUUCAAAUAUGAUUGAUUCUAAUAUUAAUAUUAUGAUUUUAGCUCAUGUAAAUAUGUCAGAGAAAAUUAUUUUAAAAAUUGAAAUGAAAUUUGAAACGAAACAAGAUAUUUAUGAUUUUUACAAUAGAUUUGAAACUUGAUGUUCUCUCCAUGAUUGUAACCUCUACUCACCCUUUUGAUAUUGUUUCAGAGCUUUUGCUUUAUGGUUCAUGUUCUUACUAUUUUGCUUUAUUUUUGGCAUUGUCUUAUGGUACUAAGUACCAAUAGGUAAAUCUUUGAUUAAUGGUACUAAGUACCAGUAGGCUUGCUCAUUGAUUAUCCAUGCUAACUUGGAUCUCCAUAUAUAGGUUGAUAUCUUUACUGUAGUUUUCAGUAAUAUUAAUACAAUCUUUAUUUGGCUAAGGAAAAAAAAGGUUGCCAAGAGAAAUUGUAAUGAUGUUUUUGUUUCCAAAAUUGUUGAAUUGAACUAAGGUUGCCAAGAAAAAGUGAGGUAAUAUUUAUACUUCAAAAUUGUUAAAAACAGCUCUGGAUUGUCAAAGAAAAGAAAACACUGGGGUUGUUAGGAAAAGAUUUCUUUCAAGAUAGAACUUUCUAUUUUGGGGUUGUCGAAGAGUAUCUGAGUUCGCUAAGGAAUUAAAGAUGAAAAUUCUUUGAUCUUAUUUAAAUUGCAUCUUUCUAAGGAAAAGUGGUCUUUGGAGCUUUAUGAUUUGAUGAAUUCUUAAAAGAUGCCUUUGACAAGAGAUCAAUGUUUAGGAAUGGAACUGCAAGCGAUGCCCCUUAUAGGAAUGCAAAGAGUUACUCAUGAUAACUCCUGAUGGGAAAACAUCAAAUGAAAUUUAUUAUUUAUUUUUUUUCCAAAAAAUGAUGCAUUCAGAUUAAUGAUGUGUCUUGGUAGAAGAUAUAGAGAUUGAUUUCUUGAAUUUGCAAAAGAUGAUUUCUUCAAGAAGAUUGAUUGAAACGAAUGAUGCUCCCAUGGUGGGUGACAAUGAAUGAAACUGAUUUGGUAAAUGAUAAUGCAUUUAAACUAAUCAUGUCUCUAGGUGGGAAAAGAUUGAAAGCGAUUUCUUGAUUUUACAAGGUUAGAGAUUGGAGACACACCUUACGUCCAAAUGGUUUAGGUUUCAUUUUAGACUUCAUCAAUUUAAGUUAGCUUUUUGGUUGGAAUGUUAUUAGAGCCAACCUUAUAUCCAGGAGGUCAUCCUUAAGGUUACGCAGACAUUGUUAUGGCACCAAGGUUAAGUGCGCAUGUUCGAAGACAUAAGCGUCUUUCAGGAACAUAGUGGAGAUUAGAAACACACCUCGAGCCCAAAUGAUGUAAGUGAAAUUCUAGACUUCAUUCAGUCUUCAGCAUAAACCUCAACCCGAAACGAGUUACCCCAUGUAACUAAGAAAGAUUUGAGCUCAAAACAACCAAAUUUGAUAUAACUUAUAUGUUAUAAUAUUUUAUAUCAAAAUUUAUAUAAAUAAUAAUUAAUUAUAAAUAAUAUGUUAUAAAAUCUAAGAUGAUAGUUAAUAAAUUUAUUAAGUGUAAUCAUAUAAAUAAAUUUUAUUAUAAGUUAUAGUAAUGCUUAUGUAUAAAUUAAAUAUAUAUAAUAUUACUUUAUUAUAUAUAUAUAAUUAAUUAUACAAAUUAUAUGUUAAAAUGUUUUAUAUCAAAGUUUUGUAUAAAUAAUAACUAAUUAUAAACAAUAUGUUAUAAAAUCUAAGGUGAUAACAAAUAAAGUUAUUAAAUGUAAUCAUAUAAAUAAAGUCUAGUAUAAGUUAUAGUAAUUCUUAUGUAUAAAUUAAAUAUAUGUAUAUAUAAUAUAUGACUUUAUUUUAUAUAUAUAUAUAUAUGAAAUUAAUGACAUAACUUAUAUGUUAUAAUAUUUUAUAUCAAAAUUUGUAUAAAUAAUAAUUAAUUAUAAGCAACAUGUUAUAAAAUCUAAAGUGAUAGCUAAUAAACUUAUUAAGUGUAAUCAUAUAAAUAAAUUUAUUAUAAGUUAUAGUAAUGCUUAUGUAUAAAUUAAAUAUAUAUAAUAUUAUUUUAUUAUAUAUAUAAUUAAUGCAAAUUAUAUGUUAAAAUGUUUUAUAUCAAAGUUUUGUAUAAAUAAUAACUAAUUAUAAACAAAAUAUUAUAAAAUCUAAGGUGAUAACAAAUAAAGUUAUUAAAUGUAAUCANNNNNNNNNNNNNNNNNNNNNNNNNNNNNNNNNNNNNNNNNNNNNNNNNNNNNNNNNNNNNNNNNNNNNNNNNNNNNNNNNNNNNNNNNNNNNNNNNNNNNNNNNNNNNNNNNNNNNNNNNNNNNNNNNNNNNNNNNNNNNNNNNNNNNNNNNNNNNNNNNNNNNNNNNNNNNNNNNNNNNNNNNNNNNNNNNNNNNNNNNNNNNNNNNNNNNNNNNNNNNNNNNNNNNNNNNNNNNNNNNNNNNNNNNNNNNNNNNNNNNNNNNNNNNNNNNNNNNNNNNNNNNNNNNNNNUAAUAUAUUUUAAGUAAAUUAUUAAUUAAGUUUAUUAUCAAUUUUUCUUAAUAUAUAUAAAAAAUAUUUUAUAUAUUAAACUAUAUAUAAAUAUAUAAAAAACUAAUUUAGUUUUUUGGGUGGAUUGUUCCAAAAAUUUUAACAUCGAAAACUGAUAAAAACCCAAUUAGAUCAAAUAUUUUAAAUCAAUUAAUCUAAUAAAUCAAAAACCCACUGAGAAGUGAGUGCUCUACCUAGGAAACUAAAUUCUAUCUCUUCAUUUCAUAAGAAAAAUAAGAAAAUUCAUUGAUGUGUAAACCAAGUUCAACCCUCUUGCCCCAAGUCAUUGUGUUUUGUGCUUUUGUAGGAGUUAUAAAGCCCUUUGUCUCCACUACCUCUUCAAAGAAACACAACAAGUCAUAGCUGGGACUGAAGAGAAUCAAGCAAAGAAAGAAAAAAAAAACGCAAGAGACGAUAGUGCUCUACCCAUCGCUAGGCUUGGGCCAUGUGGUGCCAAUGGUGGAGCUAGGCAAACUCAUCCUACAACAGCGAAACCACCAAUUUUGCAUCACCAUCCUCCUUACUACUGG